RNAcentral lists this transfer RNA (77 nucleotides) under Peptococcaceae bacterium. Its description in RNAcentral is "tRNA-Arg". It matches the Rfam family "tRNA". From Rfam's summary of the family: Transfer RNA (tRNA) molecules are approximately 80 nucleotides in length. Lineage: Bacteria; Bacillati; Bacillota; Clostridia; Eubacteriales; Peptococcaceae. The record is from RNAcentral.
GCGCCUGUAGCUCAGCUGGAUAGAGCAUCUGCCUUCUAAGCAGGUUGUCGGGAGUUCGAAUCUCUCCAGGCGCGCCA